This 422-nucleotide ribosomal RNA is filed under the name uncultured bacterium. RNAcentral describes it as "partial 16S ribosomal RNA". It matches the Rfam family "Bacterial small subunit ribosomal RNA", at positions 360 to 774 of the family's 1533-position model. The record is from RNAcentral.
AAUCUUCCACAAUGGACGAAAGUCUGAUGGAGCAACGCCGCGCGAGUGAAGAAGGUUUUCGGAUCGUAAAACUCUGUGGUAAGGGAAGAACAAGUACGGUAGCAACUGGCCGUACCUUGACGGUACCUUAUUAGAAAGCCACGGCUAACUACGUGCCAGCAGCCGCGGUAAUACGUAGGUGGCAAGCGUUGUCCGGAAUUAUUGGGCGUAAAGCGCGCGCAGGCGGUCCUUUAAGUCUGAUGUAAAAGCCCACGGCUCAACCGUGGAAGGUCAUUGGAAACUGGGGGACUUGAGUGCAGAAGAGGUUAGUGGAAUUCCAAGUGUAGCGGUGAAAUGCGUAGAGAUUUGGAGGAACACCAGUGGCGAAGGCGACUAACUGGUCUGUAACUGACGCUGAGGCGCGAAAGCGUGGGGAGCGAACA